RNAcentral lists this ribosomal RNA (378 nucleotides) under uncultured eukaryote. Its description in RNAcentral is "partial 18S ribosomal RNA". It matches the Rfam family "Eukaryotic small subunit ribosomal RNA", at positions 592 to 976 of the family's 1831-position model. The record is from RNAcentral.
CAAUAGCGUAUAUUAAAGUUGUUGCAGUUAAAAAGCUCGUAGUUGGAUUUGUGGUUCGUCCCGCCGGCUGGGUCAUUGACUUUUGCUGUGCUGGUCGUCCAUCCUUGGGUGGAAUCUGUGUGGCAUUAGGUUGUCGCGCAGGGGAUGCCCAUCGUUUACUGUGAAAAAAUUAGAGUGUUCAAAGCAGGCUUAUGCCGUUGAAUAUAUUAGCAUGGAAUAAUGAUAUAGGACCUUGGUACUAUUUUGUUGGUUUGCGCACUGAGGUAAUGAUUAAUAGGGACAGUUGGGGGUAUUCGUAUUCCAUUGUAAGAGGUGAAAUUCUUGGAUUGUUGGAAGACGAACUACUGCGAAAGCAUUUACCAAGGAUGUUUUCAUUAA